Molecule: long non-coding RNA, 601 nt
Organism: Neltuma alba
Lineage: Eukaryota; Viridiplantae; Streptophyta; Magnoliopsida; Fabales; Fabaceae
Exons: 2
Source: RefSeq, a predicted model, not a curated record
GGGAGAGAGUUUUGAAAUUGGGUCUUGAAAAUGAUGGAUUUAUUCGUAGUUGACUGGUCCUUCUAAAUGGAGGGAAACUGAAGAGGCCAAGAACCUGUUUGAUGAAAUGCUUACAAGAGCUUCUGUCACAAGGAAUUCUAUGAUUAGCGGGUCUGUAAGAAACGGGAAACUGAUGGAGGCAUUAUUAGAGCUUUUCCACAGGAUGCAGGAAGAAGGGAUUGAGCCUAGUGAGAAUGCUUGUGCUCAUGGGCUCACUUCAACAAGGGAAAUGGAUUCAUGAUUGUAUAAGAACGACUUUGAGUUUAACGUUAUUGUUGUAACAGCAAUAAUUGACAUAUAUUGCUAAUGUGGAUCUAUUGAAAAUGCUCUCUCCAGGUGUUUGAGGAGUGAUGGAUAAAUAUGAGAUCAAACCAUCAUUUAAACAUUACGGUUGCAUGAUUGCAGUGCUAGGCCAAGCUGAACUACUGGAAGAGGUAGAAGAAUAUCUGUUUUAUGAUUUUUCUUUUACAUUAAUAUUUCAGAUUUAUCUUGCACAUUCUAUAGUAACAGCUUUAAUCAAUAUAGAUGAUCGAGCUUAUAAUGAAUAUUUCAGAUUUAUCUU